AUAUCUCUCUGUACGGGAAGGAUGAGAAGCUUCGACUAAGGUUCGACUCGAGCGAAAGCGAGAGAACGUUGCCAACGGCAACGGCCCGAAGGGCGAAGCGCGCAGCGCUGAGUCAUCCUUCCCCCACCACCA
This 132-nucleotide small RNA is filed under the name Salmonella enterica. Its description in RNAcentral is "RtT sRNA". It matches the Rfam family "RtT RNA". From Rfam's summary of the family: This family represents a bacterial cis-regulatory element known as RtT RNA. The exact function of RtT is unknown although it is thought that it may be involved in changing the cellular response in relation to amino acid starvation. RNAcentral also lists the same sequence under 2 other names. The record is from RNAcentral. Lineage: Bacteria; Pseudomonadati; Pseudomonadota; Gammaproteobacteria; Enterobacterales; Enterobacteriaceae.